This 483-nucleotide ribosomal RNA is filed under the name uncultured bacterium. RNAcentral describes it as "partial 16S ribosomal RNA". It matches the Rfam family "Bacterial small subunit ribosomal RNA", at positions 28 to 507 of the family's 1533-position model. The record is from RNAcentral.
GACGAACGCUGGCGGCGUGCUUAACACAUGCAAGUCGAACGCUGAAGCUCAGCUUUUGUUGGGUGGAUGAGUGGCGAACGGGUGAGUAACACGUGAGUAACCUGCCUCCUUCUUUGGGAUAACGCCCGGAAACGGGUGCUAAUACUGGAUAUUCACUGGUCUUCGCAUGGGGGUUGGUGGAAAGGGUUUUUCUGGUGGGGGAUGGGCUCGCGGCCUAUCAGCUUGUUGGUGGGGUGAUGGCCUACCAAGGCUUUGACGGGUAGCCGGCCUGAGAGGGUGACCGGUCACAUUGGGACUGAGAUACGGCCCAGACUCAUACGGGAGGCAGCAGUGGGGAAUAUUGAACAAUGGGCGCAAGCCUGAUGCAGCGACGCCGCGUGAGGGAUGGAGGCCUUCGGGUUGUGAACCUCUUUCGCUCAUGGUCAAGCCGCAACAAUGGUUGUGGUGAGGGUAGUGGGUAAAGAAGCGCCGGCUAACUACGUG